RNAcentral lists this non-coding RNA (31 nucleotides) under Mus musculus (house mouse). Lineage: Eukaryota; Metazoa; Chordata; Mammalia; Rodentia; Muridae. The record is from RNAcentral.
UNUAGUGAGUGCUUUAAGAUAGGUGUUUGGU